GAUGAAGAACGCAGCGAAAUGCGAUACGUAAUGUGAAUUGCAGAAUUCAGUGAAUCAUCGAGUCUUUGAACGCACAUUGCGCCCCCUGGUAUUCCGGGGGGCAUGCCUGUCCGAGCGUCAUUGCUGCCCUCAAGCACGGCUUGUGUGUUGGGCCUCCGUCCUCCUCCCGGGGGACGGGCCCGAAAGGCAGCGGCGGCACCGCGUCCGGUCCUCGAGCGUAUGGGGCUUCGUCACCCGCUCUUGUAGGCCCGGUCGGCGCUUGCCGACACAUCAAUCUUUUUUCCAGGUUGACCUCGGAUCAGGUAGGGAUACCCGCUGAACUUAAGCAUAUCAAAAGCGGAGGA
This 344-nucleotide unclassified non-coding RNA is filed under the name soil metagenome. RNAcentral's name for it is "partial contains 5.8S ribosomal RNA, internal transcribed spacer 2, and large subunit ribosomal RNA". The stretch from base 1 to 120 matches the Rfam family "5.8S ribosomal RNA", at positions 35 to 154 of the family's 154-position model. The record is from RNAcentral.